UUAUAGAGUUAGAUCGUGGCUCAGGAUGAACGGGGGGGGCGUGCUACACACAUGCAAGUCGAACGAUGAAGCCAGCUUGAUGGUGGAUUAGUGGCGAACGGGUGAGUAACACGUGAGUAACCUGCCCUUGACUCUGGGAUAAGCCUGGGAAACUGGGUCUAAUACCGGAUAUGACCUUCCAUCGCAUGGUGGUUGGUGGAAAGCUUUUGUGGUUUUGGAUGGACUCGCGGCCUAUCAGCUUGUUGGUGAGGUAAUGGCUUACCAAGGCGACGACGGGUAGCCGGCCUGAGAGGGUGACCGGCCACACUGGGACUGAGACACGGCCCAGACUCCUACGGGAGGCAGCAGUGGGGAAUAUUGCACAAUGGGCGCAAGCCUGAUGCAGCGACGCCGCGUGAGGGAUGACGGCCUUCGGGUUGUAAACCUCUUUCAGUAGGGAAGAAGCCGCGAGGUGACGUACUGCAGAAAGAAGCGCCGGGCUAACUACGUGCCAGCAGCCGCGGUAAUACGUAGGGCGCAAGCGUUAUCCGGGAAUUAUUGGGCGUAAAGAGCUCGUAGGCGGUUUGUCGCGUCUGCCGUGAAAGUCCGGGGCUCAACUCCGGAUCUGCGGUGGGUACGGGCAGACUAGAGUGAUGUAGGGGAGACUGGAAUUCCUGGUGUAGCGGUGAAAUGCGCAGAUAUCAGGAGGAACACCGAUGGCGAAGGCAGGUCUCUGGGCAUUAACUGACGCUGAGGAGCGAAAGCAUGGGGAGCGAACAGGAUUAGAUACCCUGGUAGUCCAUGCCGUAAACGUUGGGCACUAGGUGUGGGGGACAUUCCACGUUUUCCGCGCCGUAGCUAACGCAUUAAGUGCCCCGCCUGGGGAGUACGGCCGCAAGGCUAAAACUCAAAGGAAUUGACGGGGGCCCGCACAAGCGGCGGAGCAUGCGGAUUAAUUCGAUGCAACGCGAAGAACCUUACCAAGGCUUGACAUGAACCGGACCGGGCUGGAAACAGUCUUUCCCCUUUGGGGCUGGUUUACAGGUGGUGCAUGGUUGUCGUCAGCUCGUGUCGUGAGAUGUUGGGUUAAGUCCCGCAACGAGCGCAACCCUCGUUCUAUGUUGCCAGCACGUGAUGGUGGGGACUCAUAGGAGACUGCCGGGGUCAACUCGGAGGAAGGUGGGGACGACGUCAAAUCAUCAUGCCCCUUAUGUCUUGGGCUUCACGCAUGCUACAAUGGCCGGUACAAAGGGUUGCGAUACUGUGAGGUGGAGCUAAUCCCAAAAAGCCGGUCUCAGUUCGGAUUGGGGUCUGCAACUCGACCCCAUGAAGUCGGAGUCGCUAGUAAUCGCAGAUCA
This 1337-nucleotide ribosomal RNA is filed under the name Pseudarthrobacter enclensis. RNAcentral describes it as "bacterial SSU rRNA". It matches the Rfam family "Bacterial small subunit ribosomal RNA", at positions 1 to 1351 of the family's 1533-position model. The record is from RNAcentral. Lineage: Bacteria; Bacillati; Actinomycetota; Actinomycetes; Micrococcales; Micrococcaceae.